RNAcentral lists this ribosomal RNA (421 nucleotides) under uncultured archaeon. Its description in RNAcentral is "partial 16S ribosomal RNA". It matches the Rfam family "Archaeal small subunit ribosomal RNA", at positions 323 to 746 of the family's 1478-position model. The record is from RNAcentral.
CUACGGGUGGCUGCAGUUAGGAAUAAUCUACAAUGCACGCAAGUGUGAUAGUUUGAGCCAGAGUGCUUUUCAAUUUGAAAAGCUUUUGUGAAAUGUAAAAAGUUUUACGAAUAAGGACUGGGUAAGACUAGUGCCAGCCGCCGCGGUAAUACUAGCGGUCCAAGUCGCAGCCAUUUUUAUUGGGUCUAAAACAUCCGUAGCUUGCUUUGUAAGUCUUUUGUGAAAUUCUGUAUCUUAAAUAUGGAGCGUGCAAAAGAUACUGCAGAGCUAGAGACUGGAAGACGUAAGAAGUAUGUUCAAAGUAGCGGUAAAAUGUUUUAAUCUUGAACAGACUCACAAUAGCGAAGGCAUCUUACGAGGACAGUUCUGACAGUAAGGGAUGAAGGCUAGGGGCGCAAAACGGAUUAGAACCCGUGUAGUC